Molecule: long non-coding RNA, 1248 nt
Filed under: Oryza sativa Indica Group (long-grained rice)
Lineage: Eukaryota; Viridiplantae; Streptophyta; Magnoliopsida; Poales; Poaceae
Description: lncRNA OsGoSa_02g0012410
Source: RNAcentral
AUGAGACGACUAGUUGCCUCACAGGAGCUAUUGCUGGUUCUGCUGAUUUCGCUGCAGUGUCUUUCCUGCCUUGCAAUUGCAAAUCCUGCGUUGGAUCGCCAAGCUGAAGCACUUCUCCAAUGGAAAUCUGGUCUAAGGGGCGAUCUCUCCUACUGCGGGCUAGAGGAAUGGAGCAACGCAACCAGCCCAUGCAACUGGUCAGGCAUAUACUGCAGCUACAAGGUGCGCCGUGGCCAUGAGCGUGAUGCCAUCCUAGUUGUGACAUACAUUACACUUUUCUCAUGUAACAUCUCCGGUGGUUUGAGCAAGCUCCGAUUUGCACAAUUGCCUCAUCUUGUCUUUCUCGACCUUAGCAUUAACUCUCUCUAUGGACCAAUUCCGUCUGAUAUUGGUCGUCUUGCUGAGCUCUCUUACUUGGAUCUCUCUAACAAUAAGCUCACUGGAUCCAUCCCGCCAUCGAUAGGUAAUCUUACGAACCUAGGAUUCCUUGAGCUUUCUAACAAUUAUUUGUCACAAGGGAUACUCAGUUGCUUGCCUGACACAUUACAUAACUUGCAGUACCUUGAUUUAAGCCACAACAGCUUAACUGGCCCAAUACCUUCCAGAAAUCUAACGAGCUUACAAAACAUGGAUCUUUCCAACAACCGAAUCAUUGGCCCCAUCCCUUCAACCUUUUCGAAACUUAUAUCUUUAAUAACACUGAAACUUGAGUCCAAUGUGCUAAAUGAUAUACUGCCACCAGAACUAGGAUUUCUACGUAAUCUUUUUGUUCUAGAUCUAAGCAGCAAUCAGUUUACGGGAAGCAUUCCACCUCAGAUAGGACAGUUUCACCAUUUGUCCUUGUUGCGCCUGCGAAACAACUUACUGACAGGACCAAUACCAGAAGAACUUGGGUAUUGUACCGACCUAACUGAGUUGGAUUUGAGCAGAAAUAAUUUAAGUGGUGCCAUACCAAUGACUUUCAUGAUGCUUUACCGAUUACUUGAGCUGAAUUUAUCAUACAACAGUUUGGGCGGCAGAUUUUUUGGUUUCUACACAACUGAAGCCUCUUCUGUAGUUUCACUAGACCAUAAUACAGGUAUCUGUGGUGAUCCAUUAUAUGGCUUGACACCGUGUCAACCAUCAAAUCCAAAUCCUGACAGUUUACAUACAAAUGAAAAUUCCGACAGUAAACAUCUUGUUCCGAGGCUACUUCUUGCCUUUGCAAUGUUUUCUUGCAUCUGGCUCGUGGGUGGAAGCAUCACAGUG